Molecule: ribosomal RNA, 469 nt
Filed under: uncultured bacterium
Lineage: Bacteria
Description: bacterial SSU rRNA
Rfam family: Bacterial small subunit ribosomal RNA
Source: RNAcentral
ACGAACGCUGGCGGCAUGGAUUAGGCAUGCAAGUCGAACGCUUAUGCAUGUGUAGCAAUACAUAUGUAUGAGAGUGGCGCAAGGGUGAGGAACACGUGAGUAAUCUGCCCUCAAGUUGGGAAUAACCUUUCGAAAGAGAGGCUAAUACCGAAUGUGGCUAUAUGAUCGCAUGGUUAUAUAUCUAAAGGUUUACUGCUUGAGGAUGAGCUCGCGUCCCAUUAUGCUAGUUGGUGAGGUAACGGCUCACCAAGGCUAUGACGGGUAGGUGGACUGAGAGGUUGGUCACCCACACUGGGACUGAGAACUGCCCAGACUCCUACGGGAGGCUGCAGUCGAGAAUCUUCCGCAAUGGGCGAAAGCCUGACGGAGCAAUGCCGCGUGCAGGAUGAAGGCCUUCGGGUCGUAAACUGCUGUCACAGGGGAUGAACGCAAUGACAGUACCCUGGGAGGAAGCCACGGCUAACUACGU